RNAcentral lists this unclassified non-coding RNA (253 nucleotides) under uncultured Pseudobdellovibrionaceae bacterium. RNAcentral's name for it is "uncultured Bdellovibrionaceae bacterium contains 16S-23S intergenic spacer region". It matches the Rfam family "Bacterial small subunit ribosomal RNA", at positions 524 to 776 of the family's 1533-position model. The record is from RNAcentral. Lineage: Bacteria; Pseudomonadati; Bdellovibrionota; Bdellovibrionia; Bdellovibrionales; Pseudobdellovibrionaceae.
UACGAGGGGUCCUAGCGUUGUUCGGAAUCACUGGGCGUAAAGAGUAUGUAGGCGGCCUUGUAAGUCAGGUGUGAAAGCCCCGGGCUCAACCCGGGAAGUGCAUCUGAUACUACUUGGCUUGAGUGUUGGAGAGGAUAGUGGAAUUCCAGGUGUAGUGGUGAAAUACGUAGAUAUCUGGAGGAACACCGGUGGCGAAGGCGGCUAUCUGGCCAAACACUGACGCUGAGAUACGAAAGCGUGGGUAGCAAACAGG